RNAcentral lists this ribosomal RNA (1066 nucleotides) under Vibrio sp. hHt27-12. Its description in RNAcentral is "bacterial SSU rRNA". It matches the Rfam family "Bacterial small subunit ribosomal RNA", at positions 70 to 1133 of the family's 1533-position model. Lineage: Bacteria; Pseudomonadati; Pseudomonadota; Gammaproteobacteria; Vibrionales; Vibrionaceae. The record is from RNAcentral.
UUCGGGUGAUUUGUUGGGCGUCGAGCGGCGGACGGGUGAGUAAUGCCUGGGAAAUUGCCCUGAUGUGGGGGAUAACCAUUGGAAACGAUGGCUAAUACCGCAUAACGUCUACGGACCAAAGAGGGGGACCUUCGGGCCUCUCGCUUCAGGAUAUGCCCAGGUGGGAUUAGCUAGUUGGUGAGGUAAUGGCUCACCAAGGCGACGAUCCCUAGCUGGUCUGAGAGGAUGAUCAGCCACACUGGAACUGAGACACGGUCCAGACUCCUACGGGAGGCAGCAGUGGGGAAUAUUGCACAAUGGGCGCAAGCCUGAUGCAGCCAUGCCGCGUGUAUGAAGAAGGCCUUCGGGUUGUAAAGUACUUUCAGUCGUGAGGAAGGCGUUGAAGUUAAUAGCUUCAUUGUUUGACGUUAGCGACAGAAGAAGCACCGGCUAACUCCGUGCCAGCAGCCGCGGUAAUACGGAGGGUGCGAGCGUUAAUCGGAAUUACUGGGCGUAAAGCGCAUGCAGGUGGUUUGUUAAGUCAGAUGUGAAAGCCCGGGGCUCAACCUCGGAACCGCAUUUGAAACUGGCAGGCUAGAGUACUGUAGAGGGGGGUAGAAUUUCAGGUGUAGCGGUGAAAUGCGUAGAGAUCUGAAGGAAUACCAGUGGCGAAGGCGGCCCCCUGGACAGAUACUGACACUCAGAUGCGAAAGCGUGGGGAGCAAACAGGAUUAGAUACCCUGGUAGUCCACGCCGUAAACGAUGUCUACUUGGAGGUUGUGGCCUUGAGCCGUGGCUUUCGGAGCUAACGCGUUAAGUAGACCGCCUGGGGAGUACGGUCGCAAGAUUAAAACUCAAAUGAAUUGACGGGGGCCCGCACAAGCGGUGGAGCAUGUGGUUUAAUUCGAUGCAACGCGAAGAACCUUACCUACUCUUGACAUCCAGAGAACUUAGCAGAGAUGCUUUGGUGCCUUCGGGAACUCUGAGACAGGUGCUGCAUGGCUGUCGUCAGCUCGUGUUGUGAAAUGUUGGGUUAAGUCCCGCAACGAGCGCAACCCUUAUCCUUGUUUGCCAGCACGUAAUGGUG